CCUACGGGAGGCAGCAGUGGGGAAUCUUGGGCAAUGGGGGCAAGCCUGAUCCAGCAAUGCCGCGUGUGUGAAGAAGGCCUUCGGGUUGUAAAGCUCUUUUGUCCGGAAAGAAAACGCUCUGGUUAAUACCCGGGGCGGAUGACGGUUCCGGAACAAUAAGCNCCGGCUUACUACAUGCCAGCAGCCGCGGUAAU
Molecule: ribosomal RNA, 194 nt
Filed under: uncultured bacterium
Lineage: Bacteria
Description: partial 16S rRNA
Rfam family: Bacterial small subunit ribosomal RNA
Source: RNAcentral